CCUACGGGAGGCAGCAGUGGGGAAUAUUGCACAAUGGGGGAAACCCUGAUGCAGCGACGCCGCGUGAAGGAAGAAGUAUUUCGGUAUGUAAACUUCUAUCAGCAGGGAAGAAAAUGACGGUACCUGACUAAUAAUCCCCGGCUAACUCCGUGCCAGCCGCCGCGGUCAUACGGAGGGGGCAAGCGUUAUCCGGAUUUACUGGGUGUAAAGGGAGCGUAGGCGGUUUAGCAAGUCAGACGUGAAAGCCCCGGGCUCAACGCCGGGACUGCUUUUGAAACUGUUGAACUAGAGUGCAGGAGAGGAAAGUGGAAUUCCUGGUGUAGCGGUGAAAUGCGUAGAUAUUAGGAGGAACACCAGUGGCGAAGGCGACUAACUGGAAUGUAAAUGACGCUGAGGCUCGAAAGCGUGGGGAGCAAACAGGAUUAGAUACCCCUGUAGUC
This 440-nucleotide ribosomal RNA is filed under the name uncultured bacterium. Its description in RNAcentral is "partial 16S ribosomal RNA". It matches the Rfam family "Bacterial small subunit ribosomal RNA", at positions 338 to 795 of the family's 1533-position model. The record is from RNAcentral.